Kogia breviceps (pygmy sperm whale) is the source of this 1012-nucleotide non-coding RNA. Lineage: Eukaryota; Metazoa; Chordata; Mammalia; Artiodactyla; Physeteridae. The record is from RefSeq and is a predicted model, not a curated record.
UCGGUUACCUGGACUGAGGUCAGCGCGGUGGAGUUGCAGAACCUGCGGGUGCAGAGGAGCUGUGGAGCUGAUCCAAAGAGCGGGGAGCAUGAGGACCUGGAGUCUCUGUCAGAUUUGUACCUGCGGGUCAGAUUCUCAUCCUUAUGAAAUAGUCAAAGAGGCUUGCCAUGCACCAGAACAAUAUAAACCAAAGCAGGGGGAGAUUGAUCUUGGUACUGCCUAUAAACGGCCUCUUAAUUCUUGUAAAGUGCAGCGUGUGGCAAUAGCUCGGCCUUUGGAGAGACAAGUUAAAAAAGGGAAGUUGGCUACUGUCCCAACCUAUAAAGAUUUCAAGACAUCUGCAUAGUGUACCCUGAGUCAAGUUUUGGUUGGCAGUGUCAAGAUGGCUGCACUGCUCCUCGCUGUGUUUAAGUUAGAAAGAGGCAUUGUGGUAUGACAAGUAAAGGCUCUGUGGCUUGGGAAUCAAAGCUCCUGUGCUCAAGUUCCAAUGACACCGGUUUCUACUUGUGCCAUCCUAGGAGAAUUACCUACUCAUCACUCACUUUCUGUCCUGUAGCAAAGAUUGUAAAAUAACCUAAUCUGCUUCGAGCUUACGAGUAGUAUGAUUUCUGAGAUGAGACUUGCCCUCUAAAGCUUCACAAGCACCCUAGAAGUUGUUACAGAGAAUGGAGAGCUUGGAUGGGGGGAAUAAUGUGGUUCGAAUGACAGUACUUCCAAAAAGGGAAAAGCACUUGCGAGAGUACUUUAAGGAAUGACUGACAGCUCUGAAGAAAAUUUUCACGGUUACCUCAGGGGUAUGUGUUAGCAGCUCUGAAACUACGUGUAUAAUAAGGUCAAACCAAGAAAAUAUAUUGCAGAUAAUGAAAGCCAGGCUUCUCCCUGUCAGAGAAAGAAGUUGACAAACAAGAAAAAGGUAUGGACUAUAAUAAUGACCCUAUGUGCUGGAAUGGCAUUCAAGGUUUCAGUAUGAACGCAUAGAUACAGGGAAAAAAAAAAUUGUGUGUGUGCGCGC